GAGGUCUGAAGAGAAAGCUGGAGAAAAAAUACGGUCCUUGGAUUAUUUAUAGGGCUUUGGGUGGUCUGUAGGAGGGAAGGGGUGUUGCACAAAAGGAGGAAAGAACAUCUACAUCGAUGCUGACUGCUAGAUUGAUGUCGGAGCAAGGGCUGUCGCGGGGUCUCUGCCUGACACAGGGCUGAAAGGAGACGCGCUCCGCUGAGUUACCGCGCUCAGCUCCACAGCAGCUGGGGGACAUCCAGCAGUAGUAAACGCAGCUGACAACUACAUCUGCACUCUAGAGAUGGAAAGAUCCCCGUUUCGUUUGAAAACAGAUAGACAAGUCUCUCCGGCUGGCUCCCCGAGGACCGGGUGCAUUUUGGAUGCCAUCCUGACCACGGACGGACAGACACAGAGCAACACGCACUGAUCUGAGCUGACUGAGGCAGGGAUCGCUCCCCACCUCCGUGACCGCUGUGUAAAUCGGACCAGACACCGCAGCAAGGGGAAGCUUUCCGUGGCCGUGGGUGCCGAAAGAUAGGUUUAUUUUUACUAUUAUUUAAUGAUUUAAUUUACCUAAUCUCAGGGUUUCCCAAUCAGCAAAGCAGCCGCUCAGGGGCUCCCCAGCCCACAUCCUGCAGUGAAAGCACAGCAGAACAUCAGUUGUCACCAGCGAGACUGAAACGGGGACGGAAGGGGAGCGCGAGGGAGAAGGGGCAUUAUUACAUGCUUGAUUUUGCAGACAAAAUGAAUCACCCGACAGAGCCAGAAUAUCCUCUGGAGCAAAAGGUCUCACCGCUCCGGGCGUUAUCGCGGCAGGACGUGUGUGCAUGCCUUGGAUUAACCCUUGUGCUCUCAGAACGCUGCGGGUUGAGCGGCUGCUGAUAGCUUAUUCUGUAAGCCAGGGGGCUUCCUCGGACUUACAGCUGUGCAGCAGUCGAUCCAGAGGCAGAAACAAAGUCCCCGGGCACAAGUCUUGAAAGAAGAACACCAAAAAUCAUCCCACUCCUCCUUUUUCUUCUUCUUCCCUCGAUGCGCCGCUGCCAGAUUCUAAAUUGCACUUAAGUUAGUUUGAAGUUUUUCACUUGGGCAAUGUGUCACUACGGGAAUAAAACUAAAUACACACCUGGAUAGCAUUAGAUAAUUGACAAAUGCCUUUUUUUAAGCAUAUUUCUCUUUCUGAAGAUGAUUCAGAUUCAAGUUUGAAUAAAAAUCUGGGUAUCCUCA
Long non-coding RNA from Gallus gallus (chicken), 1206 nucleotides. RefSeq lists it as uncharacterized. Lineage: Eukaryota; Metazoa; Chordata; Aves; Galliformes; Phasianidae. The record is from RefSeq and is a predicted model, not a curated record. The transcript has 2 exons.